This 74-nucleotide transfer RNA is filed under the name Clostridiales bacterium. RNAcentral's name for it is "tRNA-Gly". It matches the Rfam family "tRNA". Rfam says of the family: Transfer RNA (tRNA) molecules are approximately 80 nucleotides in length. Their secondary structure includes four short double-helical elements and three loops (D, anti-codon, and T loops). Lineage: Bacteria; Bacillati; Bacillota; Clostridia; Eubacteriales. The record is from RNAcentral.
GCGGGCAUAGUUUAGUGGUAGAAUACCAGCUUCCCAAGCUGGCUGUGCGGGUUCGAUUCCCGUUGCCCGCUCCA